GUGUGUGUGUGAUUAAAACACUUACAAAAAAAAUGCCCAGUGAUUUAGAAGUGGGUGUGCGUGACCGUGAGAACAAGACCAAGGGGGAAACCCUAUUUCUUCAAAAUCUUGCAAAUUAAAGGAGAAAAGGGCUAAAUUUUGAAUGCAUGAACUAAGAAUGAUGAUCAUCUAAGCAUACCCAACAUCAAUAUGAAUGUAUGUUGGAACGUGUCAAGGAGAGGUCAAGCAUAGGAGGAUAACGGGUCAAGAUAAGGCAAGGUGACAAAUACACUUAUUGGAGUACUCGAGGUAUGGGAUCGUUGGCUUCAUGAAGAAAUGGAGCUGGAUUUGGAUAAGAGUAUUUAAGAAAGCGCUUGGACAAUUCCACGACUACUUUAUAGAAUGCUCUACGAAAUUUUAUUAUAUAGUUUAAUGUUGAAUGGUAUGUUAAUGACUAAUGGUUUGGUUGUACGUGGUGUCCACAGGUAUCGCUUGGGUUUUCUCUACAUUUAUUGAAGUGAAGCGGACUUAGUUCGAGUUGAGAGCAAGGAUUGUACGGGGUAGAAUGGUCACAUAGUGUAACUCAUAUAGGUUUUGAAGUAUUAAUGUUAUAAAACGUUAUAAAUCCGUUUUAAUGAAUAUAUGGCAUUUCGCAUUUGAACCUUCAUGUGUUUGAUAUGUCUAUUAAAGAACGAAAUUUUUGGGCUCUUGUUUUCCGCUGCGUCGUAUUUUAAGUUAUUACGCGUUAGUCUUACAGGGAAUUGUUCUUAUUACGAACGGGUCAUGCCCGAAUUUUGUUAAAUAAUAGUAUGAUAAUAUUACAUUUUGGAAUGUGUAAUUUGGGUGUAACAAGUUGGUAUCAGAGCCCUGGUUUGAGAGAAUUAAGUACGAGAGUAUAAGUACUUGAACUCAAACCUGUGUGCUCUUGUGAUAAGGAACCCGUACAAUCCAUGACUCGAUCAAGAUCUAAAGGUAGAAAUGGAAUGAAAAUGUGUAAGUAUGUAUUAGAUUAUGUAUUUGAAAGAAACUAAUAGUGUGUUAUGUGCAAGGUAAGCUUAAGAGCUUGAAGAGGAUGAUCCGUGAAUACAGAAUAGGAUGAACGCUAAGGCGGGCAAAGGUGCAAAUAGGCAAAUUAACCCCAGGUACACAUUACUAAUAUGUAUGAGUACCGAUGUCAAAAGAAAAAGGAAGGGGUCUCCUUGGGAGGGAAAUUAUUAAACGAAAGACAAUGAUGUGGUCUUGGGGAAGUUUUAGAAAUGUGCACGAAACUGAAACCCAUUUCUCGGGCAUAAGGCGAUGAUUACACGAAGGCACGAAACUAGUGUGUGAAUUGCGCACCUGGCCAGUACGCAAGAAGCAUAUGAUGUUCGUGAGACCGUGGCAAUUAUUGCAGGUAUGUCCGGUAGAACUGGGUAGCAGGUGGGCGCUAUGUUGUAGCGAAUGCGAAAUAGCAAAUCCAUUGCGGAUUUGGUUAUGCUAACGAAGGUUAUGAAAAGUUAGGCGAGUCGACCGGUUCUAGCGAACAAGUCGAAUAAGAAUAAGCUACCAUCCGUUUUGAACGGGUGAUUUUGAAUGCUCUAAUGAAUGCUAGAAGCUUAAUCCGUUAUACGGAUUGAAAGAAGAAGUUAUGAUUAAAUGCGAAAAACCCAAUUAUUUGGGUAGUGGAAAAUGUGUAUGCUUAACUCUCGUUGAGAGUGUUUAUGCCAAACCCAAUUAUUUGGGUAGUGGAAUGUGUAUGCUUAACUCUCGUUGAGAGUGUUUAUGCCAAACCCAAUUAUUUGGGUAGUGGAAUUUGUAUGCUUAACUCUCGUUGAGAGUGUUUAUGCCAAACUCAAUUAUUUGGGUAGUGGAAUGUGUAUGCUUAACUCUCCUUGAGAGUGUUUAUGCCGAAACCCAAUUAUUUGGGUAGUCGAAUGUGUAUGCUUAACUCUCUUUGAGAGUGUUUAUGCCAAACCCAAUUACUUGGGUAGUCGAAUGU
RNAcentral lists this long non-coding RNA (1957 nucleotides) under Helianthus annuus (common sunflower). Its description in RNAcentral is "hypothetical non coding rna". Lineage: Eukaryota; Viridiplantae; Streptophyta; Magnoliopsida; Asterales; Asteraceae. The record is from RNAcentral.